GAUGAACGCUGACAGAAUGCUUAACACAUGCAAGUCGAUGGGGAAGUGGUGCUUGCACCAUGGUAACCAUGGCGGACGGGUGAGUAACGCGUAAGGAACUUGCCUGCGGGACUGGGAUAACAGCAGGAAACUGCUGAUAAUACCGGAUAAGGUCAUUAAGCUGCAUAGCUUAGUGAUGAAAGGAGACGCCUGCGGAGAGCCUUGCGUCCUAUUAGCUAGUUGGAGGGGUAACGGCCCACCAAGGCGAAGAUAGGUAGCCGGCCUGAGAGGGUGGACGGCCACAAGGGGACUGAGAUACGGCCCUUACGCCUACGGGAGGCAGCAGUGGGGAAUAUUGGACAAUGGGGGCAACCCUGAUCCAGCAAUUCUGUGUGCACGAAGACGGUUUUCGGAGUGUAAAGUGCUUUCAGCAGGGAAGAAGGAAGUGACGGUACCUGCAGAAGAAGCGACGGCUAAAUACGUG
Molecule: ribosomal RNA, 463 nt
Filed under: uncultured bacterium
Lineage: Bacteria
Description: partial 16S ribosomal RNA
Rfam family: Bacterial small subunit ribosomal RNA
Source: RNAcentral